Molecule: long non-coding RNA, 682 nt
Organism: Nerophis ophidion (straightnose pipefish)
Lineage: Eukaryota; Metazoa; Chordata; Actinopteri; Syngnathiformes; Syngnathidae
Exons: 2
Source: RefSeq, a predicted model, not a curated record
UUGAAGAAGGCGAGGGAGAGGGACGCGGGACCAGAGGUGCAAGAGGUGGACGAGGGUGAAAGAUGGAGGAGAGGGACGACAAGCGCGGUCGGACAUCGCCGAGAAGAGGAGGAGGAUGAGGAUCGGGGACGUCUCAUCAAGUGCUUUCGGAGGAUGAAAAAAGGAGGCAAAGAUCAGGCAAGGAGGAAGACCGAGGGGACAGAGGGAAGGGGUAUGGGGCGAGUUCCCAUUUUUUGGAGGGAAAAUGAGCACAUUCAAAUUUGUGCAGGCCGGACCCGCAGAUGCGCGGCUGCGAAUGGCGGGUGAGAUUUAUAGAUGGGAGCUGAAGGAAGUGACAAGUCAGUGUGGGAAAUAUGUAUAGAGAAAGAGCUGGGGUGGUUUGGCAGGGGGCGAGGUGGGGGCUGGGGAGGAUCAAGAGCGAGUGAGCAUUAAUAUGCUAAUGGCUGGAGUGAAUGCACAACAGGCCCACUGACCAGGCUAAUCACUAGUGGACACACACUGCAGCUAAUCCCUCAUGCCGUACUCACACUCACGUAGUUGCAGGCACACACAUGCACGCACACACCUCCAGUUUGAAAUGAUGAAUUCAGAGUGAAUACAUGAACAUGUCUUCGCAAACGUCCAAAGUUGUUGUAUGUUUUCAUGUUAUCGAAGAGAAAAUUAAAAAUGAAACCAACCUCAA